GAGGAUCUUAGCAACAACCGGUAUUUCUAGUCAUGUAUAUAUGUAAAUAAUUUAUAAAUCACCACACCAAAUGACUCAAAGGCAAUCUUAAGAAAUGGGAGAAUCUGUGGAGCCUUCAUGGGACUGGACUAGGCCCUCUGCACAAGUGAGACAGUUGUGUAGCUUGAUCUGUUUACGGUGCCGCCAGCAGUAGGAUCAGGAUCUAUCCCCGGUGCAUGAGAGGGCUUUUUGGAACCCAUUACCUAUGCUGGAAAGAUGGCUUAAUAGUGGGAGUGCUUGCUCUGUGAGCAUGAAGAGCUGAGUUCAGAUCUCCAGGAAAAAAUCCAGGCAUGGCUGUAUAUGUCUGCAACCCCAGCAUCGGAGGGCUGAGAUAGGUGGACUGUGAAAACUAGGUUGGCAAGCAGCGUAGAGGCAUGAGCUUCACGUUCAGGGAAAGAUGCUGUGUCAAGGCGACCAGGUAAACAGUGAUAGAAGACACCAAAUAUCCCAUGUCCUGGCCUGGCCAAUGUCUGAGUAAGCACAGGUUUAAAAAUAGGAAGGCAGAUCUGCAUGAAGGAAACUUAACUCAGCUUCCAUGAAAAGUCAUCAUAUUAGAUUUGCCAAAUUAGAUUUUUCUUACUUUCUCUUCCUGGUCUCUGAUUCUAUAAAUUAUUUUUAUGCUAGGAAACAAAAGAACUAGAGUCCUUAUGUGACAUUCAUCUUG
Molecule: long non-coding RNA, 703 nt
Organism: Peromyscus maniculatus bairdii (prairie deer mouse)
Lineage: Eukaryota; Metazoa; Chordata; Mammalia; Rodentia; Cricetidae
Source: RefSeq, a predicted model, not a curated record